Molecule: RNase P RNA, 326 nt
Filed under: Escherichia coli
Lineage: Bacteria; Pseudomonadati; Pseudomonadota; Gammaproteobacteria; Enterobacterales; Enterobacteriaceae
Description: partial RNase P RNA component class B
Rfam family: Bacterial RNase P class B
About the family: Ribonuclease P (RNase P) is a ubiquitous endoribonuclease, found in archaea, bacteria and eukarya as well as chloroplasts and mitochondria. Its best characterised activity is the generation of mature 5'-ends of tRNAs by cleaving the 5'-leader elements of precursor-tRNAs. Cellular RNase Ps are ribonucleoproteins.
Source: RNAcentral
CCAUGCUAGCACUGGCUGUGAUGCCAGUAGUGAUUGUGCUAGGCGAACACAUAAGCCUAGGGAUGUGCAUACACAUUACGGCGAAGGAAAUGGCUAAGUCGUUUGAUAUGCCAAAGUACUUCUGAAAGUGCCACAGUGACGUAGUUUUUAUGGAAACGUAAAAAAUGGAACGCGGUAAACCCCUCAAGCUAGCAACCCAAACUUUGGUAGGGGCAUGGGAUAGUUGGAAACGAACAAGCUAUCCUGACUGUCAACAGACGGUAGACAGAUGAUUAUCGAAGGAAAUAAUUCCUAGUUAUUUCCGGAACAAAACAUGGCUUAUAGAA